This 974-nucleotide ribosomal RNA is filed under the name Aceria anthocoptes. Its description in RNAcentral is "eukaryotic LSU rRNA". It matches the Rfam family "Eukaryotic large subunit ribosomal RNA", at positions 91 to 634 of the family's 3401-position model. Lineage: Eukaryota; Metazoa; Arthropoda; Arachnida; Trombidiformes; Eriophyidae. The record is from RNAcentral.
GAGUGAACAGGGAUAAGCCUAGCGCUAAGGCUCGACAGGAUGGGUGCCAGCAAUGGUGCUCGUCUCUACCGAUGAGGCUGUCGAGCGGUGCAGCGUUACAAACUACGAUGUUUAGUGGUGCCAUUGGUGGCAUUCGAGCAAUCGAUUGCCACUCCUAGCCUAGCAUGCAAGUUCCAUUGACUUGGACUAAUUGUAAAUGACCAGCAGCUUGGGGCAACUUGAGUUGUUGGUUGAGCCAGAGCGGGUGUAAGCCCCAUACCGUGCAGGCAUUGGCGCCACGAAUUGUAGACGGGGCGCAAGUUCCGAAUUGUUAGAGUCGAGUUGCUUGAGAGUGCAACUUAAAGUGCGAGGUAAACUACUCGUAAGGCUAUGCAUAAUACGGCUACGACACCGAUAGCAAACAAGUACCGUGAGGGAAAGUUGAAAUAGAACUUUGCAGAGAGAGUUAACAGGGCGUGAAACCGUUAAUUGGCAAACGAAUCGGAGCCACGAAGUCGUUUCGCCGUUGAGUCGGAGUCAAGUUCAGCCGGUACUGCAAAGUAUCGGUGUAUUCUUGGCUUGGCCAACUUUGUAAGCGUACAACGCAACUAGUUAGACGAUUGGAUAUGGGCCAAGUUAGCUUGUCGAGCAAUCGACUUGUUGACGCAGCAUUUGUUUGCUCGUGUUAGUAGUAGCGCGUUGCCUCUCGGGGUAUUCGGCGUUGCUUGGCACGUUGCAAGUGAACUAUAACCAAAUACUGACUAGCAACAUGAAAAUCGCCUCCCAUGAGGUGUUACAGAUAAAGCAGUUAGUUGCACUGGUGACUACACGGUCGACUGUUGGUUCUAAGCUUGGCAUUUUUGAAUUCAGACUUGCUCGCUAUCAGUGGGGCAACUCCUGGUGCUUGUACAGCUUCUGUCUAAUCGGGUGUCGACUUGAGCUAGCAUUGUUCGGCAGUGAAACGAUUGGUUGCAAGUGCAAUCUAGCUUGCAAUU